GACGUAGGGCGCGAGCGUUGUCCGGAUUUAUUGGGCGUAAAGAGCUCGUAGGCGGCUUGUCGCGUCGUCCGUGAAAACUUGGGGCUCAACCCCAAGCUUGCGGUCGAUACGGGCGGGCUGGAGUUCGGUAGGGGAGACUGGAAUUCCUGGUGUAGCGGUGAAAUGCGCAGAUAUCAGGAGGAACACCGGUGGCGAAGGCGGGUCUCUGGGCCGAUACUGACGCUGAGGAGCGAAAGCGUGGGGAGCGAACAGG
This 253-nucleotide ribosomal RNA is filed under the name uncultured bacterium. Its description in RNAcentral is "partial 16S ribosomal RNA". It matches the Rfam family "Bacterial small subunit ribosomal RNA", at positions 524 to 776 of the family's 1533-position model. The record is from RNAcentral.